AAUAUGUUAUUAAUUAUUAUAGUAUAUAAGAUUAUAAAUUUUCAAUAUAAUAUGUAUGAAAUUAAAUAUAAAUAUUUCAAAUUAUGACCCGUUACUCAGUAGAAAGUUUUCUUAAAUCUAUUUUUCACCCGUUAUAAUAUUUUUUUCAUGUAUUGAACAGUUUAUAUUCGUUUUAAAAAAUUCUAAUUAUGGAAUAUGCGAAAAAACUCUAAUUAUUUUUUUAUAAUGAUGAUAUUAUUUUUUCGCAAAAAUAGAAUCAUAUAAAGAUGAGAAGUGAAUUAUAAUAAUUAAUAAAAAAUUAAUAUGAUAAUUUAGAUAUCAAAUCUAAUUUGUUGAUUUUAAUUGGUUACUUUUUUUGAAAUUAAUAAUGUAUUUCAUUUUUCU
RNAcentral lists this small RNA (384 nucleotides) under Arabidopsis thaliana (thale cress). RNAcentral describes it as "ATSL069310". Lineage: Eukaryota; Viridiplantae; Streptophyta; Magnoliopsida; Brassicales; Brassicaceae. The record is from RNAcentral.